UUAUCGAACGUACGAAUACACAGGUCUGUAAGAAAACUGUGUGCUGCGCGUGACCCGAAAGCACGACGCACACACACAACAAGGGAUAACGAAAGAUGGUAUACACACUAUGGUUACACUAUGGAUCAGUGGCGUGGUGAACCACUGAUGCCCGCUGAAGCGAUAGAGAGUUCGACGCAAUGGCUCCGCACGGUGUGCGCCGUCGACGGCGAAGUACUAGUAGUCGUCGACGAGUCGUAUACCGUUGCGGAGCCGAGAAGCUGUGGUGCAGGCUGAUUCCGCUUCGAAUCGUGCGCGAGGCGGUCUUAAAUUCGUGCCAGGAGUGCACGGCACGGUGACCCCGAAAGAUGGUGGUGGAACAAUGGGCUCCGAACGGAAGGUAUAUCCAAGUUUAACACCCGUUGCGGAGGAUCGUGAGGCAGACACGACGGUCGUGUGAGGCAGACACGACUCCCAAAGACGGUAAUGUAGCGCAUCGUCCGAGAAAACGUGGUUGCAGCGGUGCAUGGUUGCGAGGUGGUGGAGUGCACGAAAGAAGCACGAGGUCUCCGAAAGAUGGUAGAACACAAUGGGCUCCGCACGGAAUGCGCCGCCGUCGACGGCGAAGUACUAGUAGUCGUCGACGAGCGGUAUAGUACCGUUGCGGAGCCCGCCGGGCAGGACAAUCCGAUUGAAUAUUUGUUCUAACUUUGGGGUACCUAUCGUGUCCGCGCGGCGGCGCCGAUUGUACGUAUUUGUCGGUGUCGCGUGGCGGCGGCGAUGAGCAGGCGGCGGGAAGCCCCCGCAGCUUGGCGAAGGUUCAAAGAAGCGCUGGUUCGCGUCCCGUACGCCGGUUGUCCUUAUUUGCCGGUGUGCGGUGGCGACGAGGCGCUCGCCCCGAAGUCAUGUCUAUGUUGUUUUCGUACGGUUGCUAUCGGUCGCCUGCCGGUCGACGGAGACGUCGCGCCGGUACGGUGCUGCCCAGAAAGCUCGAUACAACUCUAAGCGGUGGAUCACUCGGCUCGUGUGUCGAUGAAGAGCGCAGCCAGCUGCGUGAAGUAAUGUGAAUUGCAGGACACAUUGAACAUCGAUAUCUUGAACGCACAUUGCGGCCUCGGGUAUUCCCGAGGCCACGCCUGUCUCAGGGUCGGUUGAAACUAUCAAUCGUCGGUUGACCGUAUUUGCCGACGCAUUGGACCGUCGCGGAGCACUGAACGUGAAGGCGGCGUCGAUCGGUUGACCGUAUUUGCCGAUCGCGCGUCGCCGCGUGCUCCACGUCGUCCGAAGUACAGACGGGUCUUCGCCAGAGACUUGCCGACCGCAUGUCCUAAGCCCGCUCUUGCGGCGGUGCGACGGGGACGGUGGACUCGGUUUGAGAAGCCGUUGCCCGCUCGCUCGCUCGCGGUGCGGUACGGUCGGAUGUAGUCCGCGGCGUUGACCCACGAACGAGAUAACGAUGACGAAGGACGGACGCGCGAGCUGUUCGACGGCGAAGUACUAGUAGUCGUCGCCAGCUCAAGUGUCGUGUCGUCGUCUCGUAUUCUUUUCGAACGAGAUAACGAUGACGAAGGACGGACGCGCGAGCUGUUCGACGGCGAAGUACUAGUAGUCGUCGCCGGCUCAAGUGUCGUGUCGUCGUCUCGUAUUCUUUUCGACCUGAGAUCAGACGAGAUUACCCGCUGAAUUUAA
RNAcentral lists this ribosomal RNA (1668 nucleotides) under Tubificoides diazi. Its description in RNAcentral is "eukaryotic LSU rRNA". The stretch from base 977 to 1129 matches the Rfam family "5.8S ribosomal RNA". Lineage: Eukaryota; Metazoa; Annelida; Clitellata; Tubificida; Naididae. The record is from RNAcentral.